CCUCCUGAGAGUUAAAGAAGCUCCUCUGCCUGUCUCUGCUUGCUAUUGCUGUCUUGUAUUGCAAAUCUGCAUUCAUCAUCUCCUUCUCCUUCUACCUACGAGAGAAGCUCUGUGCCUGGUUACAUAAGGAAACUAAGAUAUGGCAGUAGAACCUGUGCUUACUUUCGCGACCGAGGGAAUACUGACGAAGCUGACUUCCCUUGCUGCUGACGAAAUCAGUCUUGCUUGGGGAUUCAAAGCUGAACUAGGGAAGCUCAGUGAAUCCUUAUCCAUCCUUCAAGAUUUCUUAGGAGGUGCUGCUGAGAAGGCAAAAGAUGGUGGCAGGCCAGUGGAAGGCUGGGUGAAGAAACUUAAAGGCAUAGCUGAUGAGGCUGAUGAUGUCUUUGAAGAAAUCAACUAUGAAUUUCUCCGGAGACGAGUAGAACUGCAUAACCAUAUGAGAAAAAAGGUGCUCAACUUCCUUUCUGCAUCCAAUCCCAUUUUGUUUCGACAAAAAAUGGCACACAGAAUUAGAAAAAUCAGCGCUUCUCUGGCGAAGCUCAAGAACGAAGCAUCUUACAUUGGAUUAAUUGCAAAGAAAAAAGAUGCAACCCCUCAAAGAAUUAGAGAGGACCGAGAAACCAACGCUUUCAUUGGUAAAGAUGAAAUCAUCAUUGGAAGGAAGAACGCUGUGUCAGAUAUAGUUACAACAUUGACCAGCUCCGACAUAAAUCAAGAAAAUCUGUCGGUUAUGGCAAUCGCGGGAAUGCCAGGACUGGGAAAGACAACUUUGGCCAAGUCAGUGUACAAUGAUAAUUCAGUAACAGGGUAUUUUGAAAAAAGGAUAUGGGUGUGUGUGUCUGAUCCUUUUAACAUCAAUGUGAUUUUGAUCUGCAUGUUAGAAUCUCUUAACCCAUCAAAAGCCACUGUAAGAGAAAAUCAAGAUGCAAUGCUUAAAUACAUUGAAGAAGAGUUGAGAGAGAAAAUUCGUCACGCGAAAUUUGUAUGCGCGACGAAUAUUAUUUCGUAGCGCAAAGUUCAUGUAUCUCGCACGACGGAAGAGUCCGUCGUGCAUUGUUUUUGUUGAAUUCUGCUCCAGGAAGCAAAAUUAUUGUCACUACCCGCAGUGGCAUAGUUGCAUCACUCACAGAAACACUUCCGCGGCCUAAAUUGGACCUUCUAUCAACAGAUGAAUGCUGGUCCAUAUUGAAACAUGCAGCUUGCUCAGAUGGUAGUUUAGAGGGAAUUGGACGGGAGAUUGCUAAAAAGUGUGAAGGUCUACCAUUGAUGGCACAGGUUUUGGGAGGCAUUUUGCGCUCUAAAAAGACUCAUAAUGAAUGGUCUAAAGUCAAAGACAAUAGAAUAUGGGACUUACCAAAGACAGAAGAUAGAAUCAUGUCAGUCUUGAAGUUGAGUUUCGAUAAUUUGGAAUCACCAGCACUGAAGCAAUGUUUUUCAUAUUGCUCGGCGUUCAUGAAAGAUGAGGAGAUGAAACGAGAUGACUUGAUUCAACUUUGGAUGGCUCAAGGAUUCCUCCAUCCUCCUGAAAAAAGUAAUCUAGAGAUGGAGGAUAUAGGUAAUGAAUAUUUUGAUAUUCUAUUCCAAAGAUCCUUAUUUCAAGAUGCUAGACUGGAUGAUGAUGGCAUUGUUUUUCAAUGCAAGAUGCACGAUCUCAUACAUGAUCUUGCAGAACGUGUAUCCGAAACUGGAAGCAUGAUGCGAGACUUCCACAAGGAUGAAGAUGUUGCAACUCCCAUUAUAGAAAGAAUUCCAGAAGGAAGUAGUGGGAAAUUGAGAUCACUGUUUUCGAAUGCUGAAGCACUACCUGGAAACAUGCUGCCAUGGUUUAAAGCUUUACGUGUCUUGAAAUUAUAUGAGGCAUAUAUUGAGGAGCUUCCAAGUUCAAUUGAAGAGCUGAAACGCUUGAGAUAUCUUGACAUUUCCUGUACAAAAAUCAAAAGACUCCCAAAUUCUAUUGGCAAGCUGUAUAACCUACAGACAUUAAGAGCAACAUACUGCAAUCUUGAAGAAUUUCCAAAAGACAUGCAAAACUUGAUCAACUUGAGACAUGUUUAUUGUGAUGAGGAAACGAAAUUUCCAGCUGGAGUAUUAGGGAGAUUAACUAGCCUUCGAAAAUUACCUUAUGAGGAUUAUGAGGUGAAGGGUAGGGAAAUUGAGGAGCUGGCUGCCUUGAAUCAAUUGAAGGGUAAAUUGAAUAUUUGUAAAUUGGAAGAUGUAAGGAAUGGAGAUGAGGCAAGGAUAGCUAAAUUAAAGGAUAAGAAAAACGUACGCAGCUUGAUAUUUACCUGGUCAAUAACCAACAAUAAUAAUGAUGCAGAUGUACUAGAAGGCCUCCAGCCACAUUCUGAGAAUAAUAAUGAUGAUGAUGUACUAGAAGGCCUCCAGCCGCAUUCUGAGUUGGAAAGGCUAAAGAUUAAAUAUUUCAUGGGUACUAAAUUUCCAUCAUGGAUGAUUAAGCUUCGCAAUUUAAAGCAGAUUGAGCUUAAGGGGUGCAACAGAUGUGAAAAAGUCCCAACACUCGGCCAUCUACCUCAUCUUACAGUUGUUCGGAUUAAAGGACUGGAUAAUCUAAAAUGUGUUGGAGAAGAGAUUUAUGGAAAUGACAUAUUUCCAGCACUGAAAGAAUUACACAUUCAUAAUUGCAAGGAACUAAUUGAAUGGAUGGAAGCACCAGAACAAGCCAUAGUGUUUCCUCGCCUGGAGAAGUUGGAGAUGAGGCGUUGUCCCAAAUUGAGAAAGGCUCCCAGUCGUCUUCCAUGUCCGAAGGAGUUGGAGAUACAAGGUAAUAUGGAACAUAUGGAGAUAAGAUGUGAGAAGUUAAAGAUAAGAUGUGAGAAGUUAACUUGUAUUGCCCACUAUAUCUUUGGUUGUUGUGCAUCUCUUCGAAAGUUGGCUGUAUUCUUUUGCCCUAGUCUACAAUCUAUUUCGAAUUUGCAUAGCUUCACAUCUCUUCGUGAAUUGAGCAUUGAACAUUGUGAGAGAUUAGAAAGUUUGGUGAGCAGUGGGCCCGUCUCUGUUGUGGAGUUGCUGACUAUAAAAGGUUGUAGUGGUCUACAAUCUAUUCCAGAUUUGAACCUCUUCCCAUCCCUCCUUAAAUUGACCAUUAAAAAUUGUGAGAGAUUAGAGAGUUUGGUGAGCAGUGGGCCCGUUUCUGUUGUGGAGUUGUUGACUAUAAAAGGUUGUAGUGGUCUACAAUCUAUUCCAAAUUUGAACCUCUUCCCAUCCCUCCUUAAAUUGAACAUUAAAAAUUGUGAGAGAUUAGAUAGUUUGGUGAGCAGUGGGCCCGUCUCUGUUGUGGAGUUUAUAAUAAGAAAUGCCCCUAAUUUAGAGAGUCUUCCAAGUUUAGACAACCUCACAUCUCUCUCUGAGUUGGUGAUUGUUAAUUGUGGGAAAUUAAAAUAUCUGCCCACAGGGCUACACUGCUGCGCCAGUUUGAUAAGAUUGGAACUUGGUAGCUUCUGGGAGGAGCUCGAUUCCUUCCCUUAUUUCCAUCUUGAAACUGGAUCAUCACAACUUCAAACAUUAAUUUUGACCGGGUGGCCCAAGCUCAAGUCUCUGCCUCAACAAAUUCAAGACUUCACUUCUCUAAAAUAUUUGUGGAUAGAGUGUUUCGAUGGAGUGGAGGCUCUUGAGGAUUGGUUGGGUGACCUUACAUCCCUUGAGAAUCUAGAUAUUUGGAGUUGCAAGAAUCUCAAGUGUCUACCCAGUGUCGAAGCUACGCAACGCCUCACCGAAUUACGAUGGCUAAAAAUUAGGGAAUGUCCCCUUCUGAAGGAAAGAUGCACCAAGGACAACGGCCCAGAGUGGCCCAAGAUUUCUCACAUUCCACAUAUCUGCAUUGAUGACAGAUUGACGCUCCAACUUUGACAGUGAAGAAAUGUACCCUUUCAUUGGAAGGCAAUGCUUCUCGGUAUUUGUGGAUUCUUUAUCACCACUUGUUUAGAGGGCCUGAGGGGUUGGGUAGGGAGAGAUUGAUAUAGAGCGGAUUUUAUUUGCAUCGUAACAACUUAAUUGAAACAGAACAAAGAAGGAAAUUAAGGAAUGCCCCCUCUGUUCAGAUUUUGAACCUACAUUUUUUAGCAUAUUCAUCAUCUCCAAGGACAAAAAAUGAAGUGGAGUGGAGUUCAUUGUUUCUUUGAAUGCUGUGAUAACCGGUGACAAAUAUUUACGUCCUAAGCAUUAGUUUCAGUACCAAUGUGUGUAUAACUUUUGUUGGUUGGCAUGUCAACCCAUUUCUUGUCUGUAAUUGAUAUAACCUUCAAGUAAUUUGAAACAUACUGGAUUUAAUGUGGGAUCAUGGAGAUUUUCUCGAUUAGUAGUGUAGGAUUUAAUUUGAA
Non-coding RNA from Prunus mume (Japanese apricot), 4337 nucleotides. The record is from RefSeq and is a predicted model, not a curated record. Lineage: Eukaryota; Viridiplantae; Streptophyta; Magnoliopsida; Rosales; Rosaceae.